Bubalus bubalis (water buffalo) is the source of this 638-nucleotide long non-coding RNA. RefSeq lists it as uncharacterized. Lineage: Eukaryota; Metazoa; Chordata; Mammalia; Artiodactyla; Bovidae. The record is from RefSeq and is a predicted model, not a curated record. The transcript is spliced from 2 exons.
UUUCACCACACGGAUUAACAUAAAAUGAUCUGUAGAGGGCACAGGGCAGUUUCUGGGAUGAGUCACCAUUUUGUUCCCAUCAAGGGGCGGGAGAGACGCCUUCCAAGGGUGACCGCAGAACUGUGUUGGAGGAGGGCUGGUCUGAGGCCUCUGCUGCUCAUUGCCCCGUGUCCUCAGGCUAGACAGUUGAUUUAUGUUCCUCUCAGGAUCCUGGAACCUGGCCUGGCCUUUGCUUCCACCCAAGCUCAAAGACUCUCCUGUUCUAAUCCCAGGAGUGACCAGAGCCCUCUAACUGGAGCGAACUUGGCCUGAACACUGUGAGAUGCUGGUUGUUUUCUUUACCAGCUGUGUCAACGCAAGGGUAACUUUAGUAUUCCCAUUUUGGAGAGACAGAUGGCAUAAAUGGGAACUGAAUUACAUCAAGAAUGGUGUGAACGUGGAAUUGAAUCCUUCCCCAGUCAAACCUCGGAUGAGACUGAAGCCCCAGUCAACACGUUCAUGGUAGCUUUGAAACCUUGAAGCAAACAACCUUGGGAAAACGUGCCCAGAAUCCUGACCCGCAGAAACUGUGAUGAUAAAUGUGUGUUUUUUAAGCCAUUAAGUUGUAAUAUUGUUUCACAGCAAUAGAGUUCCAUAUA